Molecule: ribosomal RNA, 481 nt
Filed under: uncultured bacterium
Lineage: Bacteria
Description: bacterial SSU rRNA
Rfam family: Bacterial small subunit ribosomal RNA
Source: RNAcentral
AUUGAACGCUGGCGGCAUGCCUUACACAUGCAAGUCGAACGGUAACAGGUCUUCGGAUGCUGACGAGUGGCGAACGGGUGAGUAAUACAUCGGAACGUGCCCGAUCGUGGGGGAUAACGCAGCGAAAGCUGUGCUAAUACCGCAUACGAUCUACGGAUGAAAGCGGGGGACUCGCAAGGGCCUCGCGCGUUUGGAGCGGCCGAUGGCAGAUUAGGUAGUUGGUGGGGUAAAGGCUUACCAAGCCUACGAUCCAUAGCUGGUCUGAGAGGAUGACCAGCCACACUGGGACUGAGACACGGCCCAGACUCCUACGGGAGGCAGCAGUAGGGAAUCUUGCGCAAUGGGCGAAAGCCUGACGCAGCCAUGCCGCGUGAAUGAUGAAGGUCUUAGGAUUGUAAAAUUCUUUCACCGGGGACGAUAAUGACGGUACCCGGAGAAGAAGCCCCGGCUAACUUCGUGCCAGCAGCCGCGGUAAAGUCAC